AACGAACGCUGGCGGCGUGCCUAAUACAUGCAAGUCGAACGAGAGGAUGGGGUAACCCAUUAGUAAAGUGGCAGACGGGUGAGUAAUACAUAAGUAACUUACCUUUUAGUUGGGGAUAACCUUCCGAAAGGAGGGCUAAUACCGAAUAAGACCACAAGAACUACGGUUCUAGGGGUUAAAGGUGGCUUCGGCUAUCGCUAAAAGAUGGGCUUAUGCACCAUCAGGUAGUUGGUAAGGUAACGGCUUACCAAGCCUAUGACGGUUAACUGAUCUGAGAGGUUGAUCAGUCACACUGGAACUGAGACACGGUCCAGACUCCUACGGGAGGCAGCAGUAGGGAAUAUUGCGCAAUGGAGGAAACUCUGACGCAGCGACGCCGCGUGGGUGAUGAAGGCUUUCGGGUCGUAAAGCCCUGUCGGAGGAGAAGAAAACGGUAUGGCUAAUAUCCAUACCGCUUGACGGUAUCCUUAAAGGAAGCACCGGCUAACUACGUG
RNAcentral lists this ribosomal RNA (494 nucleotides) under uncultured bacterium. RNAcentral's name for it is "bacterial SSU rRNA". It matches the Rfam family "Bacterial small subunit ribosomal RNA", at positions 29 to 507 of the family's 1533-position model. The record is from RNAcentral.